AUGCUUCAUGCUAGUAUGAUUUCUCCAUGCGAUGAUUUACCCAUUUAUGAUGGGUUUGAUGAUUGCCACGAGGAGUCUAUUAGUUGUGAUGCCAUGUUACAUAGGAUUUCUUGUGACAAUUCUUUAGGUCACAUCAUGUUUGACAAUCCGCUUGACUUGUCAUACGCUAUGCAUGAGAUCAAUCAUAUGUUAUAUUUGCAAUCUCUCCAUAGUGACUAUGCAUAUGCCAUUAAGAUUAACCCAAUUUGCACAUAUGGAAUAGAUAGCAAGCACAUGGUUAUUGGCAUUUGUUUUUCUUGUGAUGAUAUUGAUAUGCUCCCUUUGCAUCAUUUAUCUCAUAUGCCAUGCCAUGACCACCUAGCUUCGGAUAUGCAUUGCUUUGGAUGUUGUCCAUUUUCUCCAUAUGAUGUUUCCGAUAUUGCUAAUGAGGAGACCCCCAUAGUUUCCUCAUACAUUCUAGGAGAUUUUGUUUCAUCCCAUCCAUUGCAUGACCCCAAUACUUGA
RNAcentral lists this ribosomal RNA (504 nucleotides) under Triticum aestivum (bread wheat). RNAcentral's name for it is "partial small subunit ribosomal RNA". The record is from RNAcentral. Lineage: Eukaryota; Viridiplantae; Streptophyta; Magnoliopsida; Poales; Poaceae.